RNAcentral lists this ribosomal RNA (887 nucleotides) under uncultured sediment archaeon. RNAcentral describes it as "bacterial SSU rRNA". It matches the Rfam family "Archaeal small subunit ribosomal RNA", at positions 5 to 879 of the family's 1478-position model. The record is from RNAcentral.
CGGUUGAUCCUGCCGGACCCGACUGCUAUUUGGGUGAGGCUAAACCAUGCGAGUUGUAUGGGAUACCUAAAUUUCCCAUAGCAAACUGCUUAGUAACACAUGAUCAACUUACCCUAUGGAGAAAUAUAACCUCGGGAAACUGAGGAUAAUUUUUCAUAGUUGAAUAGGCUUGGAAAAGUUUUUCAAUGAAAGGGAUAAGAAAAAUGGUUCUUAUCUGCCAUAGGAUAGGAUCGUGGUCGAUUAUGGUUGUUGGUGAGGUAACGGCUCACCAAGCCGAUAAUCGAUAGGGGCCGUGAGAGCGGGAGCCCCAAGAUGGGUACUGAGACAGCGACCCAGGCCUUACGAGGCGCAGCAGGUACGAAACCUCCGCAAUACACGAAAGUGUGACGGGGUUACCCAAAGUGUUCAUUAUUGAACUGUGGCAGGUGAGUAAUGUCCCCUGCUAGAAAGGAGAGGGCAAGGCUGGUGCCAGCCGCCGCGGUAAAACCAGCUCUUCAAGUGGUCGGGAUAAUUAUUGGGCUUAAAGUGUCCGUAGCCGGUUUAGUAAGUUCCUGGUAAAAUCGGGUAGCUUAACUAUCUGUAUGCUAGGAAUACUGCUAUACUAGAGGGCGGGAGAGGUCUGAGGUACUACAGGGGUAGGGGUGAAAUCUUAUAAUCCUUGUAGGACCACCAGUGGCGAAAGCGUCAGACUGGAACGCGCCUGACGGUGAGGGACGAAAGCCAGGGGAGCGAACCGGAUUAGAUACCCGGGUAGUCCUGGCCGUAAACGAUGCAUACUAGGUGAUGGUACGGCCAUGAGCCGUGUCAGUGCCGUAGGGAAACCGUUAAGUGUGCCGCCCGGGAGUACGGUCGCAGGCUAAAACUUAAAGGAAUUGGCGGGGGAGCAC